Molecule: long non-coding RNA, 1072 nt
Filed under: Felis catus (domestic cat)
Lineage: Eukaryota; Metazoa; Chordata; Mammalia; Carnivora; Felidae
Description: lncRNA (ENSFCAG00000051940.1)
Source: RNAcentral
CAUCCAGGUUUCCAGAACUUUUCUAAUUCCUCAUCUGAUCUGAUCUUCACUGAAGUUUCUCAUCAAGCACACCUGUCUAUCAUUUGUGGGAUCAGCACAAGAGUAUAAAUAGAGGUCGAUUAUACACUAAGCUAAACACUAUGAAAUAAAGUAUGUUCUCUUCUACAUCAAUAAAUAUGUAACCACAAAGACCUGGAAGUCCAGGUUCAAAUUUAAAUUCUCAGACUCUUCGGACUUCUGUGCUAGAACACAGCAGUGUGGGCAGAGCCACUCCUUAGUCCUUGGACUGUCACCUUCUCUUCCCACGCCCAGAUCUGUCCUAAACCACAAAGACUUUGCUUACAGAUGUGUGAGCACCCCAGCCUGCAUAUCCAAAAGCUACACACCCUCUACUCACAAAAAUAGCCAUCCGCUGGUCAUCACUCAUGCCUAGGAGUGCAUACGUUAGUCCAGAGGUUAACCUUUUAAGACAACAGAUAUCAGGCAAAACCAGUGCAAUUCCCUGAAGAAGCCUUGAAGCCAUCUGAGCACAAUAUCUGGGCAUCCUUUGUAACCGGAACAUGUUCUAGAAGGGGUAGUGCAAGAUCCAGGUGGGCAUAUCAUGUAGGUCGACCAACUCUUCAUCCUGUGGACUCUCAAAAACCUAAGACCUCUCUUGCCUGAGACUAUAGACAGUACUGCCAUCAAAUGCUGAGCUCUCUUGGGAAAGUUCUCAGACCCUUGCCACAAAGAGAAACUGUGAUGAUUUGUAAUAUCGUUUGCAUGUAUGUCACCUCUCACUGGACAUAGAGCUGCACCUCAGCUCCUGCGUUCCUCACUACCACAUUCCUGCCAAGACAGAAGAAUCCAAGUCUCUCAAGUACACUCAGCCUCUUUCCCCUAUGGCCACCUGCCAUCCAACACCUUUCCCCACUGGCUCUGGGUUCUGCUGGGAUCUUGGUUACAGGUGCAAAGCCAUAGUGAGGACGAAGAGAGCUGCCGGCCCAACAGUCCCAGACACCCCCACCUGUACCAGAUGUGCCGGCAAAGACUCAGGCAGCUUUUUCCACCACCACAACCAUACAUGUUCUGA